Molecule: long non-coding RNA, 539 nt
Filed under: Homo sapiens (human)
Lineage: Eukaryota; Metazoa; Chordata; Mammalia; Primates; Hominidae
Description: non-protein coding LINC01762:47
Source: RNAcentral
UGCCUCAAACACAAACACAUGACAAAUAUAGUUCUGCAGUGAAGACUUUAGCCCCACGGGGAAAGCUGAGACUCAGGAGCCUGAUGGCAUAAACAAGGCGAAAGGCUUGGUAGCAAAUCAGAAGACUUGUUUUUGGAAGCUGAAAACUUACUUCGGCAACAACAGUCCUCCAUGGCUCCCUGUUUGUGCUCUUGCUGGCCAGGCCUGGGAAGCCCUCUUGGGGCCUCUGAGGCUUGUAACCAGCCCUGCUUAGGAACUUACUGUGUCUCUGUUUGAUUGAGCCUGGGCAUGAGAUAAAACACGAGGUCAUCUGCAAUGGCACUGGUGCUGUGGCUGUAUCAGCAUGGCUCUGAUGUCCCUUCGGGGCAGGCAACAGUUCAGGGAGGACUUACAAGCAAGCUCUGGAACUUGAAGUCUCAAGAGAUGACAAAUAGUCAAUUCUCAAAAAAUGAAGAAAAGAAAAACUUGUUUCUUCAUGUUUGCUAACCCUAUCUAUAUCUAUGGUUUUGGCCAAUAAAUUCACUGUGUUUAAAUCCUCA